Molecule: ribosomal RNA, 700 nt
Filed under: uncultured bacterium
Lineage: Bacteria
Description: bacterial SSU rRNA
Rfam family: Bacterial small subunit ribosomal RNA
Source: RNAcentral
UGCAGUCGAGCGGCAGCACGAGUAGUUUACUAUUUGGUGGCGAGCGGCGGACAGCUGAGUAACGCGUGGGAACGUGCCCCAAAGUGAGGAAUAACUGCCCGAAAGGGUAGCUAAUGCCGCAUAUGAUCUUCGGAUUAAAGUAUUUAUACGCUUUGGGAGCGGCCCGCGUCCGAUUAGAUAGUUGGUGAGGUAAAGGCUCACCAAGUCUACGAUCGGUAACUGAUUUGAGAGGAUGAUCAGUCAGACUGGAACUGAGACACGGUCCAGACUCCUACGGGAGGCAGCAGUGAGGAAUCUUCCACAAUGGACGAAAGUCUGAUGGAGCAACUCCGCGUGCAGGAUGAAGGCCUUCGGGUCGUAAACUGCUUUUAUGAGUGAAGAAUAUGACGGUAACUCAUGAAUAAGGGUCGGCUAACUACGUGCCAGCAGCCGCGGUCAUACGUAGGACCCAAGCGUUAUCCGGAGUGACUGGGCGUAAAGAGUUGCGUAGGUGGUCAGUAAAGCGAAUAGUGAAAUCUGGCGGCUCAACCAUUCAGGCUAUUAUUCGAACUCACUGACUCGAGAAUGGUAGAGGUAACUGGAAUUUCUUGUGUAGGAGUGAAAUCCGUAGAUAUAAGAAGGAACACCAAUGGCGUAGGCAGGUUACUGGACCAUUUCUGACACUGAGGCACGAAAGCGUGGGGAGCGAACCGGAUUAGAU